GUUGAGGAAGAUAAUGACGGUACUCAACAAGGAAGUGACGGCUAACUACGUGCCAGCAGCCGCGGUAAAACGUAGGUCACAAGCGUUGUCCGGAAUUACUGGGUGUAAAGGGAGCGCAGGCGGGAAGACAAGUUGGAAGUGAAAUCUAUGGGCUCAACCCAUAAACUGCUUUCAAAACUGUUUUUCUUGAGUAGUGCAGAGGUAGGCGGAAUUCCCGGUGUAGCGGUGGAAUGCGUAGAUAUCGGGAGGAACACCAGUGGCGAAGGCGGCCUACUGGGCACCAACUGACGCUGAGGCUCGAAAGUGUGGGUAGCAAACAGGAUUAGAUACCCUGGUAGUCCACACCGUAAACGAUGAUUACUAGGUGUUGGAGGAUUGACCCCUUCAGUGCCGCAGUUAACACAAUAAGUAAUCCACCUGGGGAGUACGACCGCAAGGUUGAAACUCAAAGGAAUUGACGGGGGCCCGCACAAGCAGUGGAGUAUGUGGUUUAAUUCGACGCAACGCGAAGAACCUUACCAAGUCUUGACAUCCCUUGACGAACAUAGAAAUAUGUUUUCUCUUCGGAGCAAGGAGACAGGUGGUGCAUGGUUGUCGUCAGCUCGUGUCGUGAGAUGUUGGGUUAAGUCCCGCAACGAGCGCAACCCUUAUGGUCAGUUACUACGCAAGAGGACUCUGGCCAGACUGC
This 688-nucleotide ribosomal RNA is filed under the name Faecalibacterium prausnitzii. RNAcentral's name for it is "bacterial SSU rRNA". It matches the Rfam family "Bacterial small subunit ribosomal RNA", at positions 438 to 1152 of the family's 1533-position model. The record is from RNAcentral. Lineage: Bacteria; Bacillati; Bacillota; Clostridia; Eubacteriales; Oscillospiraceae.